UAACUUUGUUUCAAUUUGAGAAAGAUUA
This 28-nucleotide non-coding RNA is filed under the name Mus musculus (house mouse). Lineage: Eukaryota; Metazoa; Chordata; Mammalia; Rodentia; Muridae. The record is from RNAcentral.